Molecule: long non-coding RNA, 593 nt
Filed under: Lupinus angustifolius (narrow-leaved blue lupine)
Lineage: Eukaryota; Viridiplantae; Streptophyta; Magnoliopsida; Fabales; Fabaceae
Description: long non-coding RNA (LANG_LNC001106)
Source: RNAcentral
GAAUGGGUAAUUGUACCCAUCUUCACGUGCAAACAAGAAAAGGGGGAAGGAUUAAAUCCCUAAAUCACACCACCCCCUCUAUCAUAUUCUCCUCCUUCUCCUCUAUUCUUUAGCAGCGGCAGAGCUCACCGACGCAUGAGGCGGGGACGGUGUAGCUUUCAAGAAGAAUUUUGCACAACAAAGGGAAAGGAAUCCCUAAACCAAGCCACUUCCUCCCUCCUUUUCCCCUUUCACUUUGGUGGUAGCAACGAUGAGCAAGGAUUUGCGAUGGUUUUCCAGUUCGGGUUCCCCUUUUCACGAUGAUCACCAAAGUGAGGUAUGGAUUUAGUUACUGUCUUCAACUAUUUACUUCCGAAAGAGUUGGGAUUACCGGUUUCUUAACAAUUUGAAAAUGACUCCUUUAUUUAGUGACAGUUUGCCUUGGUGAGGGAAUGCCAUCGCUGAGAGUGGCUCGCGAUUACGUCACGGUGGUUUCAGAUUUCUCCUUGACACUGGUAGAGUCUAAGAGGAUUUAUUGCAUAUGUAACUGAUAGAUCCUUUGGUCUGUUGGAUGAUCCCUGAUAAUUUUCUGGCAGCCCACCAUUGCUCUAAUU